Molecule: ribosomal RNA, 437 nt
Filed under: uncultured bacterium
Lineage: Bacteria
Description: bacterial SSU rRNA
Rfam family: Bacterial small subunit ribosomal RNA
Source: RNAcentral
GAACGCGAAGAACCUUACCAGGCCUUGACAUCCUAGGAACCCUGAUGAAAGUCGGGGGUGCCCGGCAAGGGAACCUAGAGACAGGUGCUGCAUGGCUGUCGUCAGCUCGUGUCGUGAGAUGUUGGGUUAAGUCCCGCAACGAGCGCAACCCUUGUCCUUAGUUGCUAACGGGUAAGCCGAGCUCUCUAGGGAGACUGCCCGCGAAAGCGGGAGGAAGGCGGGGAUGACGUCUAGUCCGCAUGGCCCUUACGGCCUGGGCGACACACGUGCUACAAUGCCCGGCACAGAGCGCUGCCACAUCGCAAGAUGGAGCGAAUCGCCUAAAUCCGGGCUCAGUUCGGAUUGGGGUCUGCAACCCGACCCCAUGAAGCUGGAAUCGCUAGUAAUCGCGGAUCAGCCAUGCCGCGGUGAAUACGUUCCCGGGUCUUGUACACACC